This 619-nucleotide ribosomal RNA is filed under the name Microbacterium sp. Its description in RNAcentral is "bacterial SSU rRNA". It matches the Rfam family "Bacterial small subunit ribosomal RNA", at positions 230 to 859 of the family's 1533-position model. The record is from RNAcentral. Lineage: Bacteria; Bacillati; Actinomycetota; Actinomycetes; Micrococcales; Microbacteriaceae.
CUCGCGGCCUAUCAGCUUGUUGGUGAGGUAAUGGCUCACCAAGGCGUCGACGGGUAGCCGGCCUGAGAGGGUGACCGGCCACACUGGGACUGAGACACGGCCCAGACUCCUACGGGAGGCAGCAGUGGGGAAUAUUGCACAAUGGGCGGAAGCCUGAUGCAGCAACGCCGCGUGAGGGAUGACGGCCUUCGGGUUGUAAACCUCUUUUAGCAGGGAAGAAGCGAGAGUGACGGUACCUGCAGAAAAAGCGCCGGCUAACUACGUGCCAGCAGCCGCGGUAAUACGUAGGGCGCAAGCGUUAUCCGGAAUUAUUGGGCGUAAAGAGCUCGUAGGCGGUUUGUCGCGUCUGCUGUGAAAUCCCGAGGCUCAACCUCGGGCCUGCAGUGGGUACGGGCAGACUAGAGUGCGGUAGGGGAGAUUGGAAUUCCUGGUGUAGCGGUGGAAUGCGCAGAUAUCAGGAGGAACACCGAUGGCGAAGGCAAAUCUCUGGGCCGUAACUGACGCUGAGGAGCGAAAGGGUGGGGAGCAAACAGGCUUAGAUACCCUGGUAGUCCACCCCGUAAACGUUGGGAACUAGUUGUGGGGACCAUUCCACGGUUUCCGUGACGCAGCUAACGCA